RNAcentral lists this long non-coding RNA (860 nucleotides) under Cyanistes caeruleus (blue tit). RNAcentral describes it as "lncRNA (ENSCCEG00000014506.1)". The record is from RNAcentral. Lineage: Eukaryota; Metazoa; Chordata; Aves; Passeriformes; Paridae.
CCCAGGUGUCCCCAGGUGUAUCUCAGGUAUCUCAGGUGUCCCCAGGUGUACCCCAGACUCACCUGGCAGGUAUCAGCCCCUCCUUUCGGGUCCCCGGCACACACCAUGUCCCCAGGUGUCCCCAGGUGUGUUCAGGUGUCUCUCAGGUGUACCCAGGUGUAUCACAGGUAUCUCAGGUGUCCCCAGGUGUACCCCAGACUCACCUGGCAGGUGUCGGCCCCGCCCCUCGGGUCCCCAGCACACACCAUGUCGUCCCGGAUCCUCCGCGGGGGCAGCGCCGGGCCCAGGUCGGUUCCGUAGAGGCGGCGACACAGAGAGAGCGGCAACAGCGGCACCUGCAGCUCCCGGAGCCGCCGGGGGCGCUCUGAGUGACCAGAGAGUGACCACUGAGUGACCAACUGACCACUGACCCACCCUGAGUGACCCCUGAGUGACCACUGAGUGACCACUGACCACACUGACCACACAGAGCCAGCGGCAACAGCGGCACCUGCAGCUCCCGGAGCCGCCGGGGGCGCUCUGAGUGACCAGAGUGACCACUGAGUGACCACUGACCCACCCUGAGUGACCACUGAGUGACCCCUGAGUGACCACUGACCCACCCUGAGUGACCACUGAGUGACCACUGACCACACAAAGAGAGCGGCAACAGCGGCACCUGCAGCUCCCGGAGCCGCCGGGGGCGCUCUGAGUGACCAGAGAGUGACCAACUGACCACUGAGUGACCACUGAGUGACCACUGAGUGACCACUGACCCACCCUGAGUGACCACUGACUGCACUGACCACACUGACCACUGACCAUUGAGUGACCCUGAGUGACCAACUGACCACUGAGUGACCAUUGACUGACCACUGAGU